CAUGAAUAUAAGUUAUCAUCAUUACAAGAACAAUUGAUGAUAAUUAAGUGUCAUAGAAUAGAUCAUCAUGGAAUAACUACAAGGGAGUGGUAAUGAAAACAAAUACCAUUAAAACUCUAUGACAAAUCCAAUCGCCACACAGAUACAAAGAAUAAAAAGAAUAAGAAGAGUCACAAAUCAAGAACUAGCUUGUUGCAAUCCAAAUGCUGAAGAUGCAUCCUGGAUGCUUAGCUACUCCGCUCAUUUGCAUUGUAAAGAUUUGAGCGUCUUGGCUGCCACAUCAAAAGCUAUGGUGCAGUUCAUGUUGGUAGCCUUCUUCUUCUUCAUUAUGAACAUAAUUGCGACUUUUCCAUUCAAUCUGCCUACACUGUUGAGUGUCAACACCCCGCUGCUCAAUUCGCUGCCAAGAUUUGAACCAGUUAUUUCACUUGAAUUCAAAUUCACCUCCACAUUUCUUUUUAUGGUCGAAAGCCAUCCAGCCUUGCCCUUUGCGAUAUUAAUCACUCCCACAGUUGCGCCUUGGUAUUGAAACGUGACAUUGGCAGCAUUGAACUUGUAGGAACCCCAGUUGGCUGAGUUCUUGAUCCUGAUUUGGGUUGUGAAUUUCAUGUCGAAUGAAGGCGUUGCCGGGACAGAUUCAAAGCUUUGGACGUUGAUGUUGCUGCCUAGCCUGAACUUGGGGGUCUUGACUUUCAUCACAGUGAGACUCAUCGUGGUGAUAACUAUGAUCUGAAACACAACGAAAAUAGUAAUAUAUAUGGCCAUUUUAAUUUUCUUCUGGCGUUUCAGCUCAUCAGAGGAUUGCAAAGAUUCUGCAUCAUUUGUUUUCCAAGCCAUGUUGAUUUCUUUUAGUGGAAGGAAGUAAAGCUUCAAAAGAAAAUGCUCUGCCUUUUCUCUGUUUCGGUCUGUAAAAUAUGAACUGAUGAGUAAGUG
Molecule: long non-coding RNA, 933 nt
Filed under: Prunus dulcis (almond)
Lineage: Eukaryota; Viridiplantae; Streptophyta; Magnoliopsida; Rosales; Rosaceae
Description: sRNA ncRNA
Source: RNAcentral